UUAAUUUAUUUGCUUGUUUACUCAGAAGAUACUAAAGAAAUACAAGAGUUUUGGUCCCCCGGCGGGCGCCUGAUCCGGGCCCGAAGGCGCCGGGGCGGAUCCGCCGAAGCAACGAUAGGUAUGUUCACAGGGGUUUGGGAGUUGUAAACUCGGUAAUGAUCCCUCCGCUGGUUCACCAACGGAGA
RNAcentral lists this unclassified non-coding RNA (185 nucleotides) under uncultured fungus. RNAcentral's name for it is "sequence contains ITS1". Lineage: Eukaryota; Fungi. The record is from RNAcentral.